This is a non-coding RNA of Pelobates cultripes (western spadefoot toad), 230 nucleotides long. Lineage: Eukaryota; Metazoa; Chordata; Amphibia; Anura; Pelobatidae. The record is from the annotation of a GenBank genome assembly.
UUAGGCACACUGCAUGAGGUGAAUCCUAUCCAGGCCGCCUCCGAUAACCGGCAAGGACACCGCCAGGAGGUACAUAUGGAGGGGAGAAAGGUACAAGGACUUCGUGACUCUGGGGCUACCUUAACUAUAGUCCGGAGUCAUCUAGUACCAAAACCCAAUCUAACUGGAGACAGUGUUGCUGUACGGGUGGCAGGGGGAGCGAUUUACAAGGUACCUACGGCCAAGGUGCA